CACACAUGUAAUGAUUUUAGUAAGGCGUGUUUGUUAAAACUAGUUUUAUUUCCUAAUUAAACUAAGGUCUAGUCCUGGCUUAAGCCAAUCCCUGUCUGGGAAACCACCCCUACAGGUCUAAACUCAGAGGCACCUCAACACAUUUUCCAGUUUGUUAGCUGGUCUAUGUUGGUCAACCAGCCUCCAAAUCCACUAGACUACAUUAAGCCGUGAUGUUCACCGCAGUAUUCAUGUGAUGAUCCUCAUGAUGGUGAGCAGUACAUUCAACUCUGACAGAUGCUGUGUGCUUCAUACCACUGGAGUCCCAAGCGUGUACAUCAAACAUCAUAUAUCCAUCAUGAAGAGUCACCGGUGUCUUCAGUGUUACACUUCCAUCUGUUCUCACACUGAACCGCUUGUCACGCGACUGAAAGACUGAUCUUGAUCUUACAUCACAGUGUUUUUCCUCUAUGAAGAUGAUCUCUGUUCACUUUAAACACAAACGACUCUGAAUCAAAUCCAGGUGUGCAUGACGACUCCUCUGCAAAUCCACAUGAAAAUACCUAAAAAACACACAUCAGUGAAAUAUUUGAUGUUAAUGUUAAAAAUAACAUGAACUAAGAUAAAUAAAUAAUGUUGUAGAAUUGUUGUUCAUUGUUAGUUUAUGCAUUAAGUGUUAACAAA
Paramisgurnus dabryanus is the source of this 663-nucleotide long non-coding RNA. RefSeq lists it as uncharacterized. Lineage: Eukaryota; Metazoa; Chordata; Actinopteri; Cypriniformes; Cobitidae. The record is from RefSeq and is a predicted model, not a curated record.